This 356-nucleotide ribosomal RNA is filed under the name uncultured bacterium. Its description in RNAcentral is "bacterial SSU rRNA". It matches the Rfam family "Bacterial small subunit ribosomal RNA", at positions 8 to 350 of the family's 1533-position model. The record is from RNAcentral.
AGAGUUUGAUCCUGGCUCAGGAUGAACGCUAGCUACAGGCUUAACACAUGCAAGUCAAGGGGAAACGGACAUCGAAAGACUUGCUUUUGUAUGGGCGUCGACCGGCGCACGGGUGAGUAGCGCGUAUCCAACCUGCCCACCACUUGGGGAUAACCUUGCGAAAGUAAGACUAAUACCCAAUGACGUCUCUAGAAGACAUCUGAAAGAGAUUAAAGAUUUAUCGGUGAUGGAUGGGGAUGCGUCUGAUUAGCUUGUUGGCGGGGUAACGGCCACCAAGGCGACGAUCAGUAGGGGUUCUGAGAGGAAGGUCCCCCACAUUGGAACUGAGACACGGUCCAAAACUCCUACGGGAGGCA